RNAcentral lists this transfer RNA (75 nucleotides) under Deinococcus seoulensis. RNAcentral's name for it is "tRNA-Val". Lineage: Bacteria; Thermotogati; Deinococcota; Deinococci; Deinococcales; Deinococcaceae. The record is from RNAcentral.
UCGGGCCAUGGAACGGAUUCCGUCUGUUGCGUUCACACCCCGGCACGGCACCGGGGUGCCAACUCCGCGCCCGGA